AGUUCGAUUCUGGCUCAGAUUGAACGCUGGCGGGAUGCUUUACACAUGCAAGUCGAACGGCAGCACGGACUUCGGUCUGGUGUGGCGAGUGGCGAACGGGUGAGUAAUGUAUCGGAACGUGCCUAGUAGCGGGGGAUAACUACGCAGUGAAGCAUUACCGUAUACGCCCUUCGGGGGAAAGUAGGGACCUUCGGGCCUCGCACUAUUAGAGCGGCCGAUAUCGGAUUAGCUAGUUGGUGGGGUAACGGCUCACCAAGGCGACGAUCCGUAGCUGGUUUGAGAGAAUGACCAGCCACACUGGGACUGAGACACGGCCCAGACUCCUACGGGAGGCAGCAGUGGGGAAUUUUGGACAAUGUGAAACCCUGAUCCAGCCAUCCCGCGUGUGCGAUGAAGGCCUUCGGGUUGUAAAGCACUCCUUUUUGGCAGGAAAGAAACGGCACGGGAUAAUACCCUCGUGCAACUGACGGUACCAGCAGAAUAAGCACCGGCUAACUACGUGCCAGCAGCCGCGGUAAUACGUAGGGUGCAAGCGUUAAUCGGAAUUACUGGGCGUAAAGCGUGCGCAGGCGGUUCGGAAAGAAAGAUGUGAAAUCCCAGAGCUUAACUUUGGAACUGCAUUUUUAACUACCGAGCUAGAGUGUGUCAGAGGGAGGUGGAAUUCGCGUAGUGCAGUGAAAUGCGUAGAUAUGCGGAGGAACACCGAUGGCGAAGGCAGCCUCCUGGGAUAACACUGACGCUCAUGCACGAAAGCGUGGGGAGCAAACAGGAUUAGAUACCCUGGUAGUCCACGCCCUAAACGAUGUCAACUAGCUGUUGGGCCUUCGGGCCUUUGUAUGGCAAAGCAUCGCAAAGAAAACACCCACCCAGAGUGCUGGCUGCAGAUAAACUCAAAGGAAUUGAUGGGACCUGCAAUAAAGGGUGAUGGCGAUUAAUUACGCACUGCGAAACCUUACCUUACCCGAUAUGCCUGAACUCCAGCAUUUGGGCGUUCGUAAGAACCGAACCAAACGCGGCUGGCCGCUGGUCGGCCGAGAUGUUUGUUAAGUCCUGCAACGAGCGCGAACCAUUGUUGUUGCCGAUAAAGACUUGUCGAGACUGCCGGUGACAAACCGAGGAAGGUGGGAUGACGUCAAGUCCUCAUGGCCCUUAUGGGUAGGGCUUCACACGUCAUACAAUGGUCGGGACAGAGGGGGUCGCCAACCCGCGAGGGGAGCCAAUCCCAGAAACCCGAUCGUAGUCCGAUCGCAGUCUGCAACUCGACUGCGUGAAGUCGGAAUCGCUAGUAAUCGCGGAUCAGCAUGUCGCGGUGAAUACGUUCCCGGGUCUUGUACACACCGCCCGUCACACCAUGGGAGUGGGUUUUACCAGAAGUAGUUAGCCUAACCGUAAGGAGGGCGAUUACCACGGUAGGAUUCAUGACUGGGGUGAAGUCGUAACAAGGUAG
Molecule: ribosomal RNA, 1447 nt
Filed under: uncultured Bordetella sp.
Lineage: Bacteria; Pseudomonadati; Pseudomonadota; Betaproteobacteria; Burkholderiales; Alcaligenaceae
Description: partial 16S-23S ribosomal RNA intergenic spacer
Rfam family: Bacterial small subunit ribosomal RNA
Source: RNAcentral